UGGUGGAGUGAUUUGUCUGGUUAAUUCCGAUAACGAACGAGACUCUAGCCUACUAAAUAGACCCGCGUCUACUUUUGUCGAUGCGAGGCGCUUCUUAGAGGGACAGGCGGCGUUUCAGCCGCAUGAGAAAGAGCAAUAACA
This 141-nucleotide ribosomal RNA is filed under the name uncultured eukaryote. Its description in RNAcentral is "partial 18S ribosomal RNA". It matches the Rfam family "Eukaryotic small subunit ribosomal RNA", at positions 1299 to 1458 of the family's 1831-position model. The record is from RNAcentral.